This 240-nucleotide unclassified non-coding RNA is filed under the name soil metagenome. Its description in RNAcentral is "partial contains 5.8S ribosomal RNA, internal transcribed spacer 2, and large subunit ribosomal RNA". The record is from RNAcentral.
AACUGAUACUACCUGCGGGAACCUGCGGAGGGAUCAUUAGAGAAUCAUUGACGCAGGGUCGAAGGCCCUGUGUCAACCCACUCUAUUUCAACCCCUUGUGAACUGUCGAUCGGUCAAGAGUGUGUUCUGCAUAGUCUUGGUCGAGGGUGCUCUGCAAUUCGAUUUUGAUUUGCCACCCGAAUCACUUUUUGAAAACCAUAGUGUGUUGAAUGGCACGCCGCAUGGCGAUUUGAAACACAA